Molecule: ribosomal RNA, 301 nt
Filed under: uncultured bacterium
Lineage: Bacteria
Description: partial 16S ribosomal RNA
Rfam family: Bacterial small subunit ribosomal RNA
Source: RNAcentral
CAGUAGCCGCGGGAAUACGGAGGGGGCUAGCGUUGUUCGGAAUUACUGGGCGUAAAGCGCACGUAGGCGGCUUGGUAAGUUAGAGGUGAAAGCCCGGAGCUCAACUCCGGAAUUGCCUUUAAGACUGCCGAGCUAGUAGGUGAGAGAGGUAAGUGGAAUUCCGAGUGUAGAGGUGAAAUUCGUAGAUAUUCAGAAGAACACCAGUGGCGAAGGCGGCUUACUGGCUCAUUCUAGACGCUGAGGUGCGAAAGCGUGGGGAGCAAACAGGAUUAGAUACCCCCGUAGUCCCUGUCUCUUAUAC